This 712-nucleotide ribosomal RNA is filed under the name uncultured bacterium. RNAcentral's name for it is "bacterial SSU rRNA". It matches the Rfam family "Bacterial small subunit ribosomal RNA", at positions 8 to 765 of the family's 1533-position model. The record is from RNAcentral.
AGAGUUUGAUCCUGGCUCAGAGCGAACGCUGGCGGCAGGCCUAACACAUGCAAGUCGAGCGCCCCGCAAGGGGAGCGGCAGACGGGAGAGUAACACGUGGGAACGUACCCUUCAGNUUCGGAACAACCCAGGGNAAACUUGGGCUAAUACCGAAUACGUCCGUAAGGAGAAAGAUUUAUCGCUGAAGGAUCGGCCCGCGUCUGAUUAGCUAGUUGGUGAGGUAAUGGCUCACCAAGGCGACGAUCAGUAGCUGGUCUGAGAGGAUGAUCAGCCUCACUGGGACUGAGACACGGCCCAGACUCCUACGGGAGGCAGCAGUGGGGAAUAUUGGACAAUGGGCGCAAGCCUGAUCCAGCCAUGCCGCGUGGAUGAUGAAGGCCCUAGGGUUGUAAAGUCCUUUCGGCGGGGAAGAUAAUGACGGUACCCGCAGAAGAAGCCCCGGCUAACUUCGUGCCAGCAGCCGCGGUAAUACGAAGGGGGCUAGCGUUGCUCGGAAUCACUGGGCGUAAAGCGCACGUAGGCGGACUCUUAAGUCGGGGGUGAAAUCCUGGAGCUCAACUCCAGAACUGCCUUCGAUACUGAGAGUCUCGAGUCCGGGAGAGGUGAGUGGAACUGCGAGUGUAGAGGUGAAAUUCGUAGAUAUUCGCAAGAACACCAGUGGCGAAGGCGGCUCACUGGCCCGGNUACUGACGCUGAGGUGCGAAAGCGUGGG